CCUACGGGAGGCAGCAGUGAGGAAUAUUGGUCAAUGGACGAGAGUCUGAACCAGCCAAGUAGCGUGAAGGAUGACUGCCCUAUGGGUUGUAAACUUCUUUUAUAAAGGAAUAAAACGAGGCACGUGUGCCUUUUUGCAUGUACUUUCUGACUAAGGAUCGGCUACCUCCGUGCCAGCAGCCGCGGUAAUACGGAGGAUGCGAGCGUUAUCCGGAUUUAUUGGUUUUCAAGGGUGCGCAGGCGGAGGUGCAAGUCAGUGGUCAACUUUCGGGGCUCAACCCCGUACUGCCGUUGAAACUGCAUCCAGUGAGUGCGCGAGAAGUAUGCGGAAGGAGUGGGGUAGCGGUGAAAGGCAUAGAUAGCACGCAGAACUCCGAGUGCGAAGGCAGCAUACCGGCGCGCAACUGACGCGCAUGCAAGAAAGCGUGGGUAUCGAACAGGAUUAGAUACCCGGGUAGUC
This 459-nucleotide ribosomal RNA is filed under the name uncultured bacterium. Its description in RNAcentral is "partial 16S ribosomal RNA". It matches the Rfam family "Bacterial small subunit ribosomal RNA", at positions 338 to 795 of the family's 1533-position model. The record is from RNAcentral.